This 79-nucleotide transfer RNA is filed under the name Candidatus Methanosuratincola petrocarbonis (ex Vanwonterghem et al. 2016). RNAcentral describes it as "tRNA-Arg". It matches the Rfam family "tRNA". From Rfam's summary of the family: Transfer RNA (tRNA) molecules are approximately 80 nucleotides in length. Lineage: Archaea; Thermoproteati; Thermoproteota; Methanosuratincolia; Candidatus Methanomethylicales; Candidatus Methanomethylicaceae. RNAcentral also lists the same sequence under 5 other names. The record is from RNAcentral.
GGGCUCGUGGUCUAGCAUGGAUCAGGACGCAGGCCUGCGGAGCCUGAUAUCUCGGGUUCAAAUCCCGACGGGCCCACCA